Molecule: ribosomal RNA, 520 nt
Filed under: uncultured bacterium
Lineage: Bacteria
Description: partial 16S ribosomal RNA
Rfam family: Bacterial small subunit ribosomal RNA
Source: RNAcentral
GACGAACGCUGGCGGCGUGCCUAAUACAUGCAAGUCGAACGCACUCUCGUUUAGAUUGAAGGAGUUUGCUCCUGAUUGAUAAACAUUUGAGUGAGUGGCGGACGGGUGAGUAACACGUGGGUAACCUGCCCUAAAGUGGGGGAUAACAUUUGGAAACAGAUGCUAAUACCGCAUAAAACCUAACACCGCAUGGUGUAGGGUUGAAAGAUGGUUUCGGCUAUCACUUUAGGAUGGACCCGCGGUGCAUUAGUUAGUUGGUGAGGUAAAGGCUCACCAAGACCGUGAUGCAUAGCCGACCUGAGAGGGUAAUCGGCCACACUGGGACUGAGGCACGGCCCAGACUCCUACGGGAGGCAGCAGUAGGGAAUCUUCCACAAUGGACGAAAGUCUGAUGGAGCAACGCCGCGUGAGUGAAGAAAGUUUUCGGAUCGUAAAACUCUGUUGUUGGAGAAGAAUGUAUCUGAUAGUAACUGAUCAGGUAGUGACGGUAUCCAACCAGAAAGCCACGGCUAACUACGUG